AAUUAAUCUAGCGCUGGCUCAGUCUGCUGCAUAAAGAUACCAGGGCAAGUAGCUGAGCCUUUUUAACUGGUAGGUUUGCUUCCAAAGGAACCUGCAGCAUCUGUGGCAUGUGUGAAGUGUUCCUGGCCCAAAGGUGCUCCACGUGCUGGGAUGGAGUCACCACAGGCCCCUCGGCCACCUCAGCCCACCCAGCCCCUCACUGCUGCUGCUGCUGGACCAGCCCAUCACAUGGACAGACACCCCAAGGCCACUGGAGUCACCUCAGCUCUGGCAUCUGCACCCCCCCAGCUUUGGAGCAGGUAAUGAGGAGGAACCCAAGUCCCCUCCCCAUCUCUGCAUAGUCAGUGCUUAUUGCUAAAUAAAGGAAAUUCUUUUUCUCCA
RNAcentral lists this long non-coding RNA (381 nucleotides) under Zonotrichia albicollis (white-throated sparrow). Its description in RNAcentral is "lncRNA (ENSZALG00000010946.1)". Lineage: Eukaryota; Metazoa; Chordata; Aves; Passeriformes; Passerellidae. The record is from RNAcentral.